UCCUCCCAUUAUUUCGGUAUUUUCAACUUCUAAAACGUUUCCGCACUCUGUCUUCUGAACUUCUUCAACGCUUUUUUUUGACUCUUUGGAAGAUGAAUUCAACCGUCAAACGAAGGUUUGGUUUGGCUAUCGGUACGAUCGAUAACCGUUGUAUUCGCUCAAUUAUAUAUAUAACAAGAUGAGUAUUGUGCAUUCAUUCCCUUAAAAUGCUUCUUAUUUGGAUGGUCCUCUGGAGCAUAGAUGGUUUAUUGUUUGGAUGGUUCAGUAAAGUAUGUGCUCCGAUCAUAUGUUAUAUGAAAUAAGAAAAACUUAAUUUGGAGAUGUAAGAGACUAAAGACAUUUUUUCUCCAUGAAUGUUUAAGAAGGCCUAUUUUCUAUGUUCUAAGUACUAGAUUUGAGUAUUCAGAUUUAACUUAGAAUUUCUGCUAUAUAAAGAUAUCAAUUCACAGGCACAUUAAAAUAUCAUAUGUAAUAAGAUAGAGUUCAAUAGUUGUAGAGUGCAUCCUCCAAAGAGGGUUCAAGUUGCUACAAUACUUUGUAAAAAAGUAGUUAUAACUGGCAUGUCCAUUUCAACUAUGUUUUAUUUGUUUAGAGAUAUAUAUGGUCAGCAAACUACCAAAGAACAGGCUACUUAUGGUUUAUUUGCAGGCGAUUCCACUGUUCUUGUCAGAGCUUUCUUUAGAUCUUUCGUGUUUUACAUUUGGUUUCAGGAUCUCUACUCUGUUUGCUUCAAAGGAUCUUUACUAUUUUGGCUUCAAAGUUUGGUAAAGAAUUUUGAAUGCUUUUUUAUGCGUAACUGAAAUAUACUUUUUAGGUAACAUUCUUUGACUUCUAAAAAGCCAUGUCAAUUGCUAGUUAAAUCUGAUGCUCUAUAUCAACUUUGACUUUAUGACUACUAUUUUAUCUAUUUUGUUUGUUUAUGAUUUUCUUAUUAAGUAUCAUCUUGAUCUUGGUAUUUCUUAUUAGUAUAAUGCACAUUAAAAUGCAUGGAACUUCGCGUAGAAUUUCACUCAAUUCCAAGUGUUUUAGAAUUAUCUGAUACUGAUAAACUUUGUUUACAACUUGGUGUUGCGUAAUACAACUUGUUUUCAAGAAUAAAUGCAUGCAAUUUUUGUUCUGUUUUCAAGUAUAAAUGCAUGCAAAUUUUUUUUACUUUGAUAUAUAAGUGACAUUAGAUUUACAAUAAUAUAGGCUUGGUCUUGAUUAUUUGACAUGGUAGGUUAUGUGUUAGUUUUUUAUUGUACUAAUUAUAUUAGUGGCUUUAGAUAUAAAGUUGCUCAACCUUUAUGAUUAUGAUUCAUUGCAAAUGUAAAUGUUCUUAUUAUUCUAAUGUUUGAGAUAAACUUUAUGAUUAUGAUUCAUUGCAAAUUAAAUCGUUCUUAUUAAUCUAAUAUUUGAGAUAACCUUCCAUCAUUCUCUCUUAACAAAUUAUCAUUUUGCCAAAUUUCCCUUGCAUAUAAGGGUAUUAAAACUGAAUGAAUACAAACACAUUUUGUUGUGUUGGAGAAAGGAGAAAAUCUUCUUCUCAUUUGAGAUUUCAGAAGAAAAGAUACCAUAGAGCUCCCAGAAAGAGAUUGUUGGGUACUGUGCACACGUGAUCUUUGCACUCUCUCUCUUCUUCAACAAUGAAGAAAGAGGGGUCUUUCUAAAUAAAACUUAAAUUAGUAGGAAAAGGAUUUUACAUAGUCUUACACUCAAACACAUAAUGAUCUUAAUUAAUUUAUUUGAAAUUAACUUUGAAUAUAAGUUACACAGGAUAAUUUUUGUAUAAAAACAUGAAAAAUCAUGACUUUUAUACCAUAAAAUUAUUAUCAUUCAAAUUCAAAUGUAUCGUCAGGUUUGAUGCAAAGUCAUAAUCUACAAAAUAAGAGCCCAAGCAUAUAAACAACAAAUAGGAAUGAAAUAUUAUUUGAGGUUGUUUUGUCUUCUAGACUUGGGAGGAGAAAAGACGAUAAGUUGUUGUUUUGAUCUAAUUUGGAUCGAAAGAGAAAAUAUGAAACGGUAAAGAGAAGGUGCGUUGAUGCAUUGAUGGUGA
Dendrobium catenatum is the source of this 2035-nucleotide long non-coding RNA. RefSeq lists it as uncharacterized. Lineage: Eukaryota; Viridiplantae; Streptophyta; Magnoliopsida; Asparagales; Orchidaceae. The transcript has 2 exons. The record is from RefSeq and is a predicted model, not a curated record.